CACUCGACCAAUCACACUACCAACAUGGUCGAGUAUCACCAUCAUCAUUCACUUGACCAAUCACUCUACCAACAGGUCGAGUAUCAUCAUCAUCACUCACUCGACCAAUCACUCUACCAACAGGUCGAGUAUCACCAUCAUCAUUCACUCGACCAAUCACUCUACCAACAUGGCCGAGUUCCACCAUUAUCAUUCACUCGACCAAUCACUCUACCACCAAGUCGAGUACUACCACCACCAUCCACUCGACCAAUCACUCUACCACAUGGUCGAGUCCCUUAUCAUCAUUCACUCGACGUCUUUACUCGACUGCCAGCUUCAGAGUCUUCUCCAUUCCGCACUCAACCAGACACUCGAGCACAAGGAAGAAAAGAAGACUUUAGCUUAUCACUCGACCACUCACUCGACCACCUGGGUCGAGUACUGUUCUUAAUCCGUCCUAAUACUGCGUCGUUUUGAGUAUUAGGGUUUGAGA
RNAcentral lists this small RNA (475 nucleotides) under Arabidopsis thaliana (thale cress). RNAcentral describes it as "ATSL088670". Lineage: Eukaryota; Viridiplantae; Streptophyta; Magnoliopsida; Brassicales; Brassicaceae. The record is from RNAcentral.